Molecule: transfer RNA, 89 nt
Filed under: Micromonospora yangpuensis
Lineage: Bacteria; Bacillati; Actinomycetota; Actinomycetes; Micromonosporales; Micromonosporaceae
Description: tRNA-Gly
Source: RNAcentral
CGCACCCGGGGUGCCGGUGCACCCGGUCGACGCCACCGAUCCGGCGCAGGUGGCGGUGCUGCGGCGGUACCUGUCCGGCGGGCGCACCC